GGAACAGGCUAGGGGGUGAUGAGCACAGGCAGGCGUAGAACUGCCCAGCCAGCGCCACCUCCCCACGCAGCCCCUGCAAGCAUCCCCCUGCUGCUUCCCUGCACCCCAGAGAGGUCCAGGAAAUCCCCACAGGGCAGAGAUGGAAGGCUGACGAUAGGAUCUGAAUUCUCAUCUUACACCACCACAGCAAGCCUUUCUCUGUCACUUCUGUGUCUGCCUGUCUGUCUCUCCCACUCUCCCCCUUUCUUUCUCUUUCUUUUAAUCAUUCUCCCUCUUUUCUCCUUAAUCACUUAAUUUCUCUCUUUUAAUCUCUUUUCCCCUUUCAUUGUUUUCCUCUUCAUCUUUUUUCUUCCCUCUCAAUCUCUUUCAGUCUUUUUUUUCUAUCCCUUUGUCUUUAUCCAUCUCCCUCCAUCUGUCUCUGUCUCUGUCUCUCCAUCUGUGUGUCUCUCUGUCUCUCCCUCAGUCUCUCUCUCUCUAUUUGUCUCUGUAUCUGUCUCUUUUUGUCUAUCUGUCUCUCCUUUCUUUCUCUCCUUAUUACUUGUGUGACCUUGGGUAAUCAAUCCAUCCAUCAUUCUACAAGCAUUUAUUAACCAUUUACUAUAUACUAAAUCUUGGGAAUAUAAAGAUAAAAGUGAAACAGUCCCUGCUUUCUAGGAUCUUACUUUCUAAUGAGGAAAGACAAUACAUAAAAGGACACUGGAAAGAAAAGGGAAAGGUACCUAUCUGCUGGAGGCAUGGAAAGGAGAUCGUAGGAGGCAGCUUGGUGACCUCAUUCCAAGCCAAAGGGAUUAGAUCAUUUACUCAUCAAUUGGAGAAUGGCUGAAUAAUUUAUGAUAUAUGAAGGUUAUGGAAUACUAUUGUUCUAUAAGAAAUAAUCAGCAGGAUGAUGUCAGAGAGGCCUGGAGAGACUUACAUGAAUUGAUGCUAACUGAAGUGAGAAGAACCAAGAAAUCAUUAUACAUAGCAACAGCAAGACUAUACGAUGAUCAAUUCUGAUUGGCAUGGCUCUUUCCAACAAUAAGAUGAUUCGUCACAAUUGUAGCCACCCAGAGAGAAGACAGUAGGAACUGAAUGUAGGCCACAACAUAGAAUUUUCACUCUUUUUGUUGUUGUUUGCUUGCAUUUUGUUUUCUUUCUCAUUUUUUUCAUUUUUGAUAUGAUUUUUCUUGUGCAGAAUGAUAUUUGUGAAAAUAUGUACAGAAGAAUUGCACAUGUUUAACAUAUAUUGGAUUACUUGCCAUAUAGGGGAGGGGAGGGGAGAGAAGGAAGGGAAAAAAUUAGAAUACAAAGUUUUGUAAGGAUGACUGUUGAAAAUUAUCCAUGAAUAUAUUUUGAAAAUAAAAAGCUUUAAUUUUAAAAAAGUAAUAAAUACAAAAUAAAAAAUCUUUAACUGGGUCAUAGAGCUGAGGCAAUCUGGAUUGGUUGAGAAAAUCUGCACACUGAUGGAAUCAUGGGGUGUUAAAUUGUUAAAUUAUUGAAGGAAUUUAGAAUGGAUGGUUAAAUAAAUAUUGUCUCCCUCCCUUAAAAAAUAAAUACAUAAAUAAAGGAG
Molecule: long non-coding RNA, 1549 nt
Organism: Sarcophilus harrisii (Tasmanian devil)
Lineage: Eukaryota; Metazoa; Chordata; Mammalia; Dasyuromorphia; Dasyuridae
Source: Ensembl